This 253-nucleotide ribosomal RNA is filed under the name uncultured bacterium. RNAcentral describes it as "partial 16S ribosomal RNA". It matches the Rfam family "Bacterial small subunit ribosomal RNA", at positions 524 to 776 of the family's 1533-position model. The record is from RNAcentral.
UACGUAGGUGGCAAGCGUUGUCCGGAUUUAUUGGGUUUAAAGGGUGCGUAGGCGGUCUUUUAAGUCGGAUGUGAAAUCUCCCGGCUCAACUGGGAGGGGUCAUUCGAUACUGGCGGGCUCGAGGCCGGUAGGGGGAAGUGGAAUUCCCGGUGUAGUGGUGGAAUGCGUAGAUAUCGGGAGGAACACCGGUGGCGAAGGCGGGUCUCUGGGCCGAUACUGACGCUGAGGAGCGAAAGCGUGGGGAGCGAACAGG